RNAcentral lists this ribosomal RNA (468 nucleotides) under uncultured bacterium. RNAcentral describes it as "partial 16S ribosomal RNA". It matches the Rfam family "Bacterial small subunit ribosomal RNA", at positions 28 to 507 of the family's 1533-position model. The record is from RNAcentral.
GACGAACGCUGGCGGCGUGCUUAACACAUGCAAGUCGAACGGAAAGGCCCUGCUUUUGUGGGGUGCUCGAGUGGCGAACGGGUGAGUAACACGUGAGUAACCUGCCCUUGACUUUGGGAUAACUUCAGGAAACUGGGGCUAAUACCGGAUAGGAGCUCCUGCUGCAUGGUGGGGGUUGGAAAGUUUCGGCGGUUGGGGAUGGACUCACGGCUUAUCAGCUUGUUGGUGGGGUAGUGGCUUACCAAGGCUUUGACGGGUAGCCGGCCUGAGAGGUUGACCGGCCACCUUGGGACUGCGAGACGGCCCAGACUCCUACGGGAGGCAGCAGGGGGGAAUAUUGCACAAUGGGCGGAAGCCUGAUGCAGCAACGCCGCGUGCGGGAUGACGGCCUUCGGGUUGUAAACCGCUUUCGCCUGUGACGAAGCGUGAGUGACGGUAAUGGGUAAAGAAGCACCGGCUAACUACGUG